UAAGUAGGACGGAUAAUCGCGGCUUUUAGCUGAGGAAAGUCCGGGCUUCAUAGGGCAGGAUGCCGGAUAACAUCCGGUGGAGGUGACUCCAAGGACAGUGCAACAGAAAUAUACCGCCUUAUUAUUAAGGUAAGGGUGGAAGGGCAGUGUAAGAGACUACCGCCUCAUUGGUAACAAUGAGGGCACAUGUAAACCCCAUCCGAAGCAAGACCAAAACAAAGAUUAAGGGUUGCCCGCCCACUUUAGGUAGGUCGCUAGAGACAGCUGGCGACAGCUGUAGUAGAUAGAUGAUUAUCGAUAACAUAACCCGGCUUAUAGUCCUGCUUAAUUA
Molecule: RNase P RNA, 331 nt
Filed under: Acetitomaculum ruminis DSM 5522
Lineage: Bacteria; Bacillati; Bacillota; Clostridia; Lachnospirales; Lachnospiraceae
Description: Bacterial RNase P class A
Rfam family: Bacterial RNase P class A
About the family: Ribonuclease P (RNase P) is a ubiquitous endoribonuclease, found in archaea, bacteria and eukarya as well as chloroplasts and mitochondria. Its best characterised activity is the generation of mature 5'-ends of tRNAs by cleaving the 5'-leader elements of precursor-tRNAs.
Source: Rfam by way of RNAcentral